UACGGAGGGAGCUAGCGUUGUUCGGAAUUACUGGGCGUAAAGCGCACGUAGGCGGAUUUGUAAGUUAGAGGUGAAAGCCUGGGGCUCAACCCCAGAAUGGCCUUUAAGACUGCAUCGCUUGAAUCCAGGAGAGGUGAGUGGAAUUCCGAGUGUAGAGGUGAAAUUCGUAGAUAUUCGGAAGAACACCAGUGGCGAAGGCGGCUCACUGGACUGGUAUUGACGCUGAGGUGCGAAAGCGUGGGGAGCGAACAGG
RNAcentral lists this ribosomal RNA (253 nucleotides) under uncultured bacterium. RNAcentral's name for it is "partial 16S ribosomal RNA". It matches the Rfam family "Bacterial small subunit ribosomal RNA", at positions 524 to 776 of the family's 1533-position model. The record is from RNAcentral.